UGGCUCAGAGCGAACGCUUGCGGCGGGCCUAACACAUGCAAGUCGAGCGCGUACCUUCGGGUACGAGCGGCGGACGGGUCAGUAACACGUAGGUAACCUACCCUUCGGUGGGGGAUAACUGGGGGAAACUCCAGCUAAUACCGCACGAGGUCCACGGAUCAAAGCAGCAAUGCGCCGGGGGAGGGGCCUGCGUCCGAUUAUUUAAUCCUAGUUGGCGGGGUAACGGCCCACCAAGGGUACGAUCGGUAGCUGGUCUGAGAGGAUGAUCAGCGACACUGGAACUGAGACACGGUCCAGACUCCUACGGGAGGCAGCAGUGGGGAAUAUUGCGCAAUGGGCGAAAGCCUGACGCAGCCACGCCGCGUGGGUGAUGAAGGCCUUCGGGUUGUAAAUCCCUGUCGAGGGGGAAGAAGUAUGACGGUACCCCUCAAGAAAGCACCGGCUAACCCUGUGCCAGCAGCCGCGGUAAUACAGGGGGUGCGAGCGUUGCUCGGAAUUACUGGGCGUAAAGCGUACGCAGGCGGACUGUUAGGUCGGGCGUGAAAUCCCGGGGCUCAACCCCGGAACUGCGUUCGAAACCGGCAGUCUU
Molecule: ribosomal RNA, 589 nt
Filed under: uncultured bacterium
Lineage: Bacteria
Description: bacterial SSU rRNA
Rfam family: Bacterial small subunit ribosomal RNA
Source: RNAcentral